Molecule: ribosomal RNA, 484 nt
Filed under: uncultured bacterium
Lineage: Bacteria
Description: partial 16S ribosomal RNA
Rfam family: Bacterial small subunit ribosomal RNA
Source: RNAcentral
AUUGAACGCUGGCGGCAGGCCUAACACAUGCAAGUCGAGCGGAUGAAGGGAGCUUGCUCCUGGAUUCAGCGGCAGACGGGUGAGUAAUGCCUAGGAAUCUGCCUGGUAGUGGGGGAUAACGUCCGGAAACGGGCGCUAAUACCGCAUACGUCCUGAGGGAGAAAGUGGGGGAUCUUCGGACCUCACGCUAUCAGAUGAGCCUAGGUCGGAUUAGCUAGUUGGUGGGGUAAAGGCCUACCAAGGCGACGAUCCGUAACUGGUCUGAGAGGAUGAUCAGUCACACUGGAACUGAGACACGGUCCAGACUCCUACGGGAGGCAGCAGUGGGGAAUAUUGGACCAUGGGCGAAAGCCUGAUCCAGCCAUGCCGCGUGUGUGAAGAAGGUCUUCGGAUUGUAAAGCACUUUAAGUUGGGAGGAAGGGCAGUAAGUUAAUACCUUGCUGUUUUGACGUUACCAACAGAAUAAGCACCGGCUAACUUCGUG